GAUGAACGCUGGCGGCGUGCCUAAUACAUGCAAGUCGAGCGAACGGACGAGAAGCUUGCUUCUCUGAUGUUAGCGGCGGACGGGUGAGUAACACGUGGAUAACCUACCUAUAAGACUGGGAUAACUUCGGGAAACCGGAGCUAAACCGGAAAAUAAUUUUGAACGCAUGGUUUAAAAAGGAAAGACCGUCCUGCCUGCAACUAAUGGUGGAUCCGCGGUGCAUUAGCUAGUUGGUAAGGUAACGGCUUACCAAGGCAACGAUGCAUAGCCGACCUGAGAGGGUGAUCGGCCACACUGGAACUGAGACACGGUCCAGACUCCUACGGGAGGCAGCAGUAGGGAAUCUUCCGCAAUGGGCGAAAGCCUGACGGAGCAACGCCGCGUGAGUGAUGAAGGUCUUCGGAUCGUAAAACUCUGUUAUUAGGGAAGAACAUAUGUGUAAGUAACUGUGCACAUCUUGACGGUACCUAAUCAGAAAGCCACGGCUAACUACGUG
RNAcentral lists this ribosomal RNA (496 nucleotides) under uncultured bacterium. RNAcentral's name for it is "partial 16S ribosomal RNA". It matches the Rfam family "Bacterial small subunit ribosomal RNA", at positions 28 to 507 of the family's 1533-position model. The record is from RNAcentral.